RNAcentral lists this long non-coding RNA (549 nucleotides) under Mytilus galloprovincialis (Mediterranean mussel). The record is from RNAcentral. Lineage: Eukaryota; Metazoa; Mollusca; Bivalvia; Mytilida; Mytilidae.
CGGGACUACUUUUUUUCUUGACAACUGAUUGCUUACUUCCGGUUUUCGCGAUUUUCGUCUGCUUUAUCGUCUGCAUUAUCUAAUAUAAAUCUUAUCAUGGACGAAGAAAUAAAGAAAGGAACCCGUGUACGGUUAUGUAACGGAGCAAAGGGCAUUAUAACUGGCACAACUUCCAAUUUCAAUUUCCCUCUGUAUGCGACAGUAAAACUACCGAUGGACGUCCGCAAAGCUUCAAAUACAAUACAGUUAUCUCUAUUCUAAUGCAAAACAAGUUCAUAAUUAAAUUUCAAUCACAAUUUCAGUGUAAAAUCUUCAAUAAAGAAAAUUCCGCGAAAAGAUGUUAUCUUCUUUGGUCCCUACACUACGUGACGUCAUAGGUAUGCUUCCGGUGUCAAACAUAAACACCGGGCGUUUUCUGGCUUCUGUGCCGCUUCAGAAUUAAUAAAAUUUGAUAAAAAGAAGAUUUUAAGGCGCAACAAGUGAGUUAUUUGUUAAUUAUUGUAGAAAUAACGUGUCAAUACACUUGUUACAAAUCAGAUAACAGGCCCC